AUGAAAGAAGCAAAAUGCAUAGCCAGAUGAAACUCAAUACCUCACCAGAAAACAGAAACAAAAAUCAACACCAAACUACUGGAGUUAGAGACAGAAAAAGACCAACUAAUGUACAUAACAAGGAACAUGAUAUGAUGCUAAUUCUCUAUCUUGAGAAGGGAAUUGAGUGAGGUGCUGUUAAACCUCUGUGCAAGACCUCGGAUGACAAGGACGACGAUAUCACGGAGGUGCCGAGUCUGUACCAGCAAAUCCACUUCACUCUCACUGUCCACCACAAUCCUCAACCGGUGUUGAUCAUUUCGGAACAGCUCCACGUGGAAUGGAGGGGCAUA
RNAcentral lists this unclassified non-coding RNA (332 nucleotides) under Hevea brasiliensis (rubber tree). The record is from RNAcentral. Lineage: Eukaryota; Viridiplantae; Streptophyta; Magnoliopsida; Malpighiales; Euphorbiaceae.